ACGGGGGGAGCAAGCGUUGUUCGGAAUCACUGGGCGUAAAGGGCGUGUAGGCGGUCAGGUAAGUGGAAUGUGAAAUCCCUCGGCUCACCCGAGGACCUGCAUCCCAAACUGCCUGGCUUGAGUAUGGGAGAGGAUGAGGGAAUUCCUGGUGUAGCGGUGAAAUGCGUAGAUAUCGGGAGGAACACCUGUGGCGAAAGCGGCUCACUGGACCAUUACUGACGCUGAGGCUCGAAAGCUAGGGGAGCAAACAGGA
This 253-nucleotide ribosomal RNA is filed under the name uncultured prokaryote. Its description in RNAcentral is "partial 16S ribosomal RNA". It matches the Rfam family "Bacterial small subunit ribosomal RNA", at positions 525 to 777 of the family's 1533-position model. The record is from RNAcentral.